Non-coding RNA from Cinara cedri, 337 nucleotides. Lineage: Eukaryota; Metazoa; Arthropoda; Insecta; Hemiptera; Aphididae. The record is from the annotation of a GenBank genome assembly.
ACACUACUGUAAUACUUUAUAUCUAAACAAAUAUUGGCUAGCAUAGCUAAAAUGUAGGUUAAAUAUUUAACACUAUUAAUUGUGUUACUGUUAAAAAAGCAAAGCACAGAUUAUACUUUAAAGUUAAUAAUGGAAAGGAAUGUAAAUUUACCGAAAUUAUACUUACCUAUUUGUAAAAUACUUCACCUAUAUGGCUAUAUAACAAAAUAAUUGUACUUAUUAUUGUUAAGUAGAUAGUGAAGGUGUAUGUUUCGGUUGGUUUAGAGCUAAAAGCCAGACAAAACUGUAGGAAUUGUUAUUUGACGGAUUUCAAGUUUGACAACAAAGAUUCUUUAGG